UUAUUAUGAGAGUUUGAUCCUGGCUCAGGACGAACGCUGGCGGCGUGCCUAAUACAUGCAAGUCGAACGCUUCUUUCUUCCCGAGUGCUUGCACUCAAUUGGAAAGAGGAGUGGCGGACGGGUGAGUAACACGUGGGUAACCUACCCAUCAGAGGGGGAUAACACUUGGAAACAGGUGCUAAUACCGCAUAACAGUUUAUGCCGC
Molecule: ribosomal RNA, 205 nt
Filed under: Enterococcus faecalis
Lineage: Bacteria; Bacillati; Bacillota; Bacilli; Lactobacillales; Enterococcaceae
Description: partial 16S ribosomal RNA
Rfam family: Bacterial small subunit ribosomal RNA
Source: RNAcentral